Molecule: ribosomal RNA, 406 nt
Filed under: uncultured bacterium
Lineage: Bacteria
Description: partial 16S ribosomal RNA
Rfam family: Bacterial small subunit ribosomal RNA
Source: RNAcentral
AUUGAACGCUGGCGGCAGGCCUAACACAUGCAAGUCGAACGAGUGGCGGACGGGUGAGUAAUGUCUGGGAAACUGCCUGAUGGAGGGGGAUAACUACUGGAAACGGUAGCUAAUACCGCAUACCAUCAGAUGUGCCCAGAUGGGAUUAGCUUGUUGGUGGGGUAACGGCUCACCAAGGCGACGAUCCCUAGCUGGUCUGAGAGGAUGACCAGCCAAACUGGGACGGAGAAACGGUCCAGACGCAUACGGGAGGAAGCAGUGGGGAAUAUUGGAAAAUGGGCGAAAGCCGGAUGAAGCAAUGCCGCGUGUAUGAAGAAGGCCUUCGGUUUGUAAAGUCCUUUCAGCGGGGAGGCGUUACCCGCAGAAGAAGCACCGGCUAACUCAGUGCCAGCAGCCGCGGUAAUAC